CAAUCAUCACACCUGCCCACCAAUCACUACUUAAACCCUGCUUCAAUUGAUUCCAUUUAAGCGUUAUGAAAAGACAGGUGCAAGAGAAAAAGGAGGACGGAUGGUGUAGCCUACUUUCCAUACAAUUAUUUCCAGUCUUUGUACGUUUCACACACUGGACAAGAGGGGCGUCGGGAAAAGAAACUGAUGGCUGUGUGUAAAAGAUUUGAACUUCAGAUGGCAACUGUUGUGUGUCUGAUGAUUACGAUAUAUAUGAUGGUCUACCAUAAUGUUCAUGGAGAGCUAAUCCAAGAGGUUCCCACUCAACAAAAACUGAGGACUACGUCUGUAUUAUCCAGAAUGCUGUUUGCUUCGCCUAACUCUCCUCUGCAGUAUCCUAUUCAGGGUUUUAAAGUACGGCCUUUGACCUCCACUCUCAUACCAGAGUUGGAUGCACUGGGUGAUGAGCUGCUGUUGGCCUCGUCUAUCCCGUAA
RNAcentral lists this long non-coding RNA (474 nucleotides) under Cottoperca gobio. Its description in RNAcentral is "lncRNA (ENSCGOG00000017785.1)". The record is from RNAcentral. Lineage: Eukaryota; Metazoa; Chordata; Actinopteri; Perciformes; Bovichtidae.